Molecule: non-coding RNA, 72 nt
Organism: Schistocerca piceifrons (Central American locust)
Lineage: Eukaryota; Metazoa; Arthropoda; Insecta; Orthoptera; Acrididae
Source: the annotation of a RefSeq genome assembly
GCCAGGGUGGUGUAGUGGUUACUAUAUCUACCUUGUGAGCAGGAGACCCGGGUUCGAAUCCCGGCCUUGGUA